UACGUAGGGCGCAAGCGUUAUCCGGAAUUAUUGGGCGUAAAGAGCUCGUAGGCGGUUUGUCGCGUCUGCUGUGAAAGACCGGGGCUCAACUCCGGUUCUGCAGUGGGUACGGGCAGACUAGAGUGUGGUAGGGGAGACUGGAAUUCCUGGUGUAGCGGUGAAAUGCGCAGAUAUCAGGAGGAACACCGAUGGCGAAGGCAGGUCUCUGGGCCACUACUGACGCUGAGAAGCGAAAGCAUGGGGAGCGAACAGG
Molecule: ribosomal RNA, 253 nt
Filed under: uncultured bacterium
Lineage: Bacteria
Description: partial 16S ribosomal RNA
Rfam family: Bacterial small subunit ribosomal RNA
Source: RNAcentral